UAUGUGCACAGCUGCACUUGUCCUUAUUCCUGAGCAUUGGAUAAAGAACCAAAUUCAGUCAUUUCUUUAUUUAGCAAGACCUUUGAACUCAGAUUUAAUCUGUUUUGUUUAAAAUUUCCAGGCUGACCAGGAACUUACUAUAUAGCCCAGGCUGGCCUUGAGCUCAGGAUCUAGCCUUUAUUUCACAAGUGCUGGCAUAACUGGCAUACACUGCCAUGCCCUGCAGUCUCACAGACUGUGAAUUGCAUACUUCAUUUAGCUGUAGUAGUAUGCAUUGGAUAAUAACCUUAACAACUCAUUUUAUUGCAGCAGGAGGUGCCUGGUAUUUAUGAUCCUUAAUAUAGUAAACGUGCACAGCGUUAAUGGCCUCAUAGAUAUUAUGUCCACUGUUUUGCCUUUUAGAUCACAACUCCUGUACGCAUCAAAGCAAAGAGGCUCACUAACACUAUAGCCUCUUUCUUGAAACUAUAAAAACGAUUCCAGUAUUGUCAAUGGUCCUUCAUUUCAUGGAACUAUGUAUGGGCUGUUGAUGUAAAGCCCCUUUCUCAACCUGCUAAUGCACAUAAUAGUAAUUUCAGAAGGAUCAGUUUUAGCCUCAUUUUGAGGUACAGCAGUGGUGGUGACCUAUAAGGUCUCAUGUUGUGGCUUGCUAAUAAUGUCUGAUUGCAUUUGUUCUUUCCUGUUCGCUACAGAAGGACAUCACUGGCCACCCUUAUGCGUUUCCCUUUCACCAGGGAUUGCACAUUGCCAAAGAUUCUCAUGUUUGAACAGUCAAAGUGUAAAACUAUGAUGGCCACAACCAUGUACCGUGAGUACCACUGCGCAUGACUCCUUCCAUUUGAAUAAGAUCCCUACUGUCAGACCCUUUGGCAGUACAGCAAGGGUCGCUAAUCUCUUGGCUUCUCUGUCUUCCUGGACACUGGGUAAGGAUCUCUCCUCUCCUUUCCACUGCCUUUGAUUUCCAGAAGUGUCCAUUACUUUAAGGUCUUAAUAUUUGUGGAAAGGAUGUGGUUUUAAUUAACCACACUGUGUCCCUUGAACAUUAAUAUGCACAAUAGGGGCAUGAUUCAUUCGUUUUAAUAAAAAAUAUCUGGCCAGUUAAUGUGCUUAAAAUCGCACUUAUCCAUGACCUUAUUACUUUGAGGACCAUUGUAUCUCUUUUGCACUAUUGCAAGGGAUACUAUUUUCCCCAAGGUCCCUGCUAGUGGAAAUUUGCCUUUGUCAGUAGACAAAGUCAUAUUCUUUCACCUUUCAUUUGCAGUAUGGCGGGGUAUGCUGAUCAACCAAGGCUGCCUUCUUUUGGACUGUUAAUAUGUAUUAUAUGUUGUAUGUAUAUAUAUGCGUUUCCUCCUGCUCUGUGCACUAGAAAAGGAUCCCACUCACUCCUUAACGCUUUUAGGAGGAAGUGGAAAGUUAACAUGCACACAGUGGCUAAGCACUUGUAUCAGAAACCCUGUACCCUCUUCCUCUGCUUUAACGCAGAAAGAGGUUUUUACACUGUGCUUUUCAUUUGGACUUCAAUGUGCAUUAACGCAAUUGUCCAUCCUUACCUUUGGAGUAGGAUUUUACAUCCUUGUACUCCUUCGACAUCAGAGGCACGUUAACUAUUUUCUGAGCACUUCUCUUACAAAUAUUAAUAUGUACGCUUACACAUACGGACCUGUGUAGCGCAAAAAGGUUCCUAAGUUCCUACCUUUUGACUGGGGCUGCUGAGGAGUGAUAACUGCUUAUAACCUCAGCAUCUGGAUGAUUGUUGUGCAACAAUGUCAAGAGUGCCGAUUAUUAGUUGUACCUCCGUACUCUCUUUACAUACCAUUAAGAGUACUGAUCAACUGAGCCCCUGAGUUAUUAAUUUGUGUGCGUAUUUGCAAUUACGAAUGCCUAGAAUACUAUGUUCUCAUACCCCCUUUGCAUUACUGCAGGGGCUGCUGAUUCAUCUAAAACAUCUGGGACUGUUAAUGAGCACAGUGGCUAUGACCAACGGCUUAUUGGGGAACUAUUAAUAGGCACAAUGGCAGUUCUUGAUGGUUUAUUUUCUACUCUGUUUCCCAUUGGCAUAAUAAAGUAAAAUACUGCAGUAUGCCUAUGCCUUGUACACCCAACAAUGACCCAUCUUUCCAUCCCCUUUGCAUUGCUCCAGUAUGCAAACCCCCAAAUAGCCACGAUCCCACACUUUAUACAGUCUUCCCUCUGUCCGGCCCCUAGUUUGUCCGUGGCCCACUCUUAUGGACUACUAAUUCUCACAGUCCAAUUGUUGAAGACCUUGCACCCUUUCCCCAGUUCCAUCACCCUGUCCCUUCUGUCUCUUUGUUGAGCCCUUCUCUUGACUUAAAGUCAAUAAUCCCAGAAGUCAUCAGUUUACCCACUGCACAUGGCUGCAGUGUUUCAGUUGCCCUCUGCUUGGUCCUCCCCAUUGAACAGAAACACCUCCACCGCAUUACUCUGUCAAUUAUCCAAAGCAACCUGUGUGUCCUUAAUGGACACAGUACCGAUUGACGGUCCCACUUUUCAGCCCAUGUGUCCAAGAGCUCCCUGCAUCUUGGAUGUGUUUAUACAUGUAAAAUUUCAAAAGCGGGCCAAAACUAGGUGGAUGAACCAUUGCUCUUUAGCUUGCAUUUCUUAAUUACUCCAAUUCCAUUUGCUGGCAUAUUCCAGGGCCAGGAAUCAUUCCUGCCCACCUUUGUUAAUGCUUUAUUGUGCAAAAGAAAUAUUUCAGGCAAGUUGCUCAGGGAGCUGGAUUGCCACCUUUUAUUUGGGGCUUUCCUUAUACAGUAUCAACUGAAAAUUGUCUCCCAAAGGAGGAUUAGCUGGUACUCUUUACAUCCUUCCUCCAGGAGCUGACUGCCUGCUUAACAAACUCAGCUUGUUUCUCUUGGUAUAUUGCUUACAGUGCCAACUGCCAGAAAAGUUAUUGAGAGUUUAUGCCUUAAGAAAGGCAUCUGGCUCGCAAGGUGGAAUUGGUUAUGUGAUCAUUAGCUUUUCUGAGGUAAAAGUAUCUUGUUUCUACUAUAUCUGAUGACCAAGCAGUGUCUCUCAUUUUACUGAGGGUGGUGAGAUUGUGGAUAAACUACUAUAACUGUUAUUCUAAUCCCAUCAAAGCAGUUGUAGAAUGGAAUGCUUAAGGCCAGUAUGUAUGUUUGGUCUGUACUACCAGUUUAAAAGCAAAAAUCAAUCUUUGUGUGGCCUUUAGUAUCAUUAUCUUUAAGGAAAAUGACCAAACUUUUUAAUAUUUAAAUUUGGCCUGACAUAGUGAACACCAGCCCCUACUGAUUUUAAGAAGGUGGCUGUGAACAGAUUAAAUAAGAGAACAUGUCAUGUUGUCUUUGAGUAGGCCAUCACAUUUGAUUAAUUCACUAUAUCUGCCAUUAAAUUUUGGCAAUGAUUUAAAGUAGUUUGAAAAAUAAAAAACCACCCUAAAGUGGGAACUUAAAUAAAAUGAUGGAGCCUGUUUCCCACUUUACAUUUUAAAAUAUAUAUAUGCCAAGAUCUAAUCAUUCUUUUUGAGAAUACAUUUCAAAGAGAGAUCUGCUUAUUAAGAAAAUAUCUGUUUCUAUUGGCGCCGAGUAUUUAAGCUUUCUGGUUUUCGUUCUUUAAUUAUUGUGCAUGAAUGAGUGUGUGUGUGUAUGUGUGUGUGCACGAUUGCAUGUGCACUUGAGUAUCUGCAUUCGCAUUGGUGACCAGAGAGCAAUGGGAACUGCUUCUAUCAUGUGGGUCGGUCCUGGAGCUAAAACUCAGAUCGUCAGGUUUGGCAGCAAGUGCCUUCACCUUCUGAGCCAUCUUGCCAGCCCUCUCCUGGGUACUGAAUGUGACAUUGCUGAUGAAGCCACAGUUCUUCAAAGUUUCUGAAAAAAACGAUACUAUUUUUCUGAGAAGGAUGUCAAGAAAUCGACCCAGUUCAGGAUACAGGUUGAACUUCAGCCCUUCAGCCGACUACAGAAGACUCUGACUGUUUGGAAUACAGGAUGAAUUUGGAGUUGGUCUUGUGCCUCAACUGAAGAAGGAUGACCUGGUUUUGGAAGGAUGGAUUCUAGACAGCAUCCAAAGGGAUAAUUCCAGCAGGAGACUUCAAGGACUGCCAGCAGCUGAUACAGGCUUAUUCAAAUCCAGCAGAUCUCUCCUUUCGAGACUCUGGACAAACUCUAGUUAAUCUGAGCAAACAACAUGCAGGCCACAUGAAGACAAAGAUCUUUCCCCAGAAGGAUGGACUUGUUGCUUUGCGGUGCUGGUGACCUAUUCCCUUUGACGACCCCUAGGUGGAGAUGGGGCAUGAGGGUCCUCCAGGGGAAUAGCUCACCAGCACUGGGCAACAGCCCUAGCCCAGGAGAUUUUUGGGGAGACAUUUUGCUGAACCCCGCAAGGAAGAUAAAAAGUCAAAGACAGCCACCAAACAUCAAGAUAGGAGAAAAGCUGCCAAAGCCGUGGCACACGAGCUUGUCCUGUGUCACCUGGUUCUCAAAGCCACCCUGGAAGCUGUAGACCUUAACCAGCUGUUUACAUGCUGCAAGAUUCACUGUGCUACCGAUGGCCUAGAAUAUCCAUUCCAUCGACCAAAUCGUCAUCCUUCCAAAGCAGCCCAGAAAGCUGGGCCUUCAGCAGGAUCACGAAAUGUGAACGCAUGAAAGGAAGCCAGCUUUAUAACCCAAGGACCAACAUACCUGCAUCUGAAACCAAGAGAAUGAAUGUGUACUGUGUUGGAUGUUUAUUUCUUAAUUGUUUUAUACAUCUAUUUCUUCCUUGCUUUGUGUGUCUCAUUCUUCGAUGUAUUCGUUUCUUCCCUUGAUUUGUGUGUCUUUUUUCCUAACUUUGUGCAUCUAAUUUUUCUAUUUCUCCCUUACCUUGUAUGUCUUUCUCCCUUGUGUGUCUUUAUUUCUUGCCUUGUAUGUCUUUCUUCCUUGCUUUGUUGUCUUUCUUCCUCGCCUUGUAUGUUUUUCUUCCUCACCUUGCAUGUCUUUGUCUUGUAUGUCUUUCUCCCUUGCUUUGUAUGUCUUCCUCGCCUUGUCUUUCUUUCUUUCUUUCUUUCUUUCUUUCUUUCUUUCUUUCUUUCUUUCUUUCUUUCUUUCUUUCUUUCUUUCUUGCCUUGUAUGUCUUCCUCGCCUUGUAUGUCUUCCUCGCCUUGUAUGUCUCUUUCUUUCUUUCUUGCCUUGUAUGUCUUCCUCACCUUGUAUGUCUUUCUUCCUUUCUCGCCUUGUAUGUCUUUCUUUCUUUUUCUUUCUUUCUUUCUUUCUUUCUUUCUUUCUUUCUUUCUUUCUUUCUUUCUUGCCUUGUACGUCUUUCUUCCUCGUAGUGUAUGUCUUUCUUCCUCACCUUGCAUGUCUUUGUCUUGUAUGUCUUUCUCCCUUGCUUUGUAUGUCUUUCUUUCUUGCCUUGUAUGUUUUUCCUCCCUUGCUUUGUAUGUCUUUCUUCCUCGCUUUGAUGUCUAUGUCAAGUGUCUUUUACUCCUCUGUGUACAGUACCUAUUGCCGUGUUUCUCUGCUAAUUUCUUCCUAGUAGAGCUUUGAGCUUUGUCUUAUUUUCUCCUCUCCUCUCUGUGU
Myodes glareolus (Bank vole) is the source of this 5531-nucleotide long non-coding RNA. RefSeq lists it as uncharacterized. The record is from RefSeq and is a predicted model, not a curated record. Lineage: Eukaryota; Metazoa; Chordata; Mammalia; Rodentia; Cricetidae.